UACGGAGGGGGCUAGCGUUGUUCGGAAUUACUGGGCGUAAAGCGCACGUAGGCGGAUCAGAAAGUCAGAGGUGAAAUCCCAGGGCUCAACCUUGGAACUGCCUUUGAAACUCCUGGUCUUGAGGUCGAGAGAGGUGAGUGGAAUUCCGAGUGUAGAGGUGAAAUUCGUAGAUAUUCGGAGGAACACCAGUGGCGAAGGCUGCUCACUGGCUCGAUACUGACGCUGCGGUGCGAAAGCGUUGGGAGCAAACAGG
This 253-nucleotide ribosomal RNA is filed under the name uncultured bacterium. Its description in RNAcentral is "partial 16S ribosomal RNA". It matches the Rfam family "Bacterial small subunit ribosomal RNA", at positions 524 to 776 of the family's 1533-position model. The record is from RNAcentral.